This 619-nucleotide ribosomal RNA is filed under the name uncultured bacterium. RNAcentral's name for it is "bacterial SSU rRNA". It matches the Rfam family "Bacterial small subunit ribosomal RNA", at positions 704 to 1328 of the family's 1533-position model. The record is from RNAcentral.
GAACACCGGUGGCGAAGGCGGCUUUCUGGACAGUAACUGACACUGAGGCACGAAAGCGUGGGGAGCAAACAGGAUUAGAUACCCUGGUAGUCCACGCCGUAAACGAUGAGCACUAGUUGUUGGGUCCGAACGGAUUCAGUGACGCAGUUAACGCAAUAAGUGCUCCGCCUGAGGAGUACGGUGGCAACACUAAAACUCAAAGGAAUUGACGGGGACCCGCACGAGCAGCGGAGCAUGUGGUUUAAUUCGAAGCAACGCGAAAAACCUUACCAGGGCUUGACAUCCUCCUGACCGGUCCUUAACCGGACCUUUCUUCGGACAGGAGUGACAGGUGGUGCAUGGUUGUCGUCAGCUCGUGUCGUGAGAUGUUGGGUUAAGUCCCGCAACGAGCGCAACCCUUGUCGUCAGUUACUAACAUUCAGUUGAGGACUCUGACGAGACUGCCGAGGUCAACUCGGAGGAAGGUGGGGAUGACGUCAAAUCAUCAUGCCCCUUAUGUUCUGGGCUACACACGUGCUACAAUGGUCGGUACAAUGAGAAGCAAGAUGGUGACAUGGAGCAAAUCACCAAAACCGAUCCCAGUUCGGAUUGCAGGCUGCAACUCGCCUGCAUGAAGUCG